RNAcentral lists this unclassified non-coding RNA (261 nucleotides) under plant metagenome. RNAcentral describes it as "partial contains small subunit ribosomal RNA, internal transcribed spacer 1, and 5.8S ribosomal RNA". The record is from RNAcentral.
UUUCCGUAGGUGAACCUGCGGAAGGAUCAUUAUCGUAAAACCGAGGUGCGAGGGCUGUCGCUGACCCGAAAGGUCGUGCACGCCCGAGUGUGUCCUCUUGCAUAAUAAUCCAUCUCACCCUUUGUGCAUCACCGCGUGGGCACCCUUCGGGAUCAUCUCGGAGGGGGGCUCGCGUUUUCACACAAACCCCCCUUUUAAAAGUGUAGAAUGACCACAUUUAUGCAAUCAAUACAACUUUCAACAACGGAUCUCUUGGCUCUC